AAAUCUACGUUAUAAUAGGGCAGUUGCAUCACUCCUGAUACGACACGUCAGCAAUAUGUGGAUCCCACUUUUAAAAAGUGUGAAAAAGUGUCAAGUCUGUGACUCAGACCCGGGUUAUUGAUACCUAAAAAACAACAUUUAUACCACUGAGCUAAAGGAUUCUUUGUACAUUGAUGGCUAAAACAAAUAUAUAUUUAUGAAGGUCGGAAACCUUUGCUUCUUCGGUUUUCUCUGUGGGACCCACACUUAUUUAUUUUAUCUAAUGAUUUAAUAAAUACUUUAUAACUCACGUUUUGAAAUGAGAUUCGUUAUAAAAAAAGCCCAAUAAACUUCUUUGGUCUGUAAUCGUUCUCUUCAGUGGAAGUUUAGGGCUUUCAAUUUUUAAUCAUCGGUUCAUGACUCAUCUAAGAAACACAGAUUGGCUCUUUGAGUUUCAUGAAUCAGUUUUUGUUCUUUGGUCUCUACAUCUCCCCAUCUUUAAUAAAUUCAUAAUCGGUUAUUUUAUUUUGCCUGAUAAAUCAUGAUUGUGUGGUUUUAAUUUUCUUUGGUCAUCCUUAUCUUGCACCCUUUAAUCUAACCAAGAAGAAGAAGAAGACAUUUGUCGUUCAAGAUGCUAUCGAGGACUCAGCUGAGUCACACGGGAGACAUACUAUCUGUUGCCUGAUUGUUCAAGAAGAGUUUAUGUGUUGUGAAACAUAUUUGUUUCUUUUCAUCAGUUGCUUUGUUUAAUCUUUUUUUUCUGCAAAUAAUGAUGGCUUUGACAGUUCAUUCACGGGAGCCAAAAAGUAAUAGAAGAAGAAGCCAGUGAGUGUUUGACAUUUUCUGUCUUCCUGAAUUUUUUUUCCAUUCAUUAAACUUGGAUUUUGAAGAUUAUGUGCCUCACAUUCUUUUUAUUUUGAUGGUUGUUAGGUUGAAUGAAGAUCAUUGAAUAAAGAAAAUGUCGAUGCUCCUGAAGAUUUGGAGGAGCAUCCUAAUGAUGAGGAAGAGGUGGAGGGAAUUGAUCUGCACCAGCAACGUUACCCGUGGGAGGGAAGUGACAUGGAUUACUUAUACGACGAGGUAAGCAUAUCAUUAGAUGGUUUGCGGUCCAUCUUUGAGAGCCGUCGAUUAUAAGUGUCUAUCGUUUUGAAGUUGUACGACACUAAGAUGUAAAGAAUUACUAAUCACGAUUACCUUACUAGCAGAGGGUUUUUGCACAUCUAUUGUCAAUGGAAUUAACACUGGAAAUUAAUGGUGCUAUAUUUCAUGUUCCAAAUGCUAACGCAAGCUCCAAUGUUAAUUCUCAGCUUUAACAUGUCAAAAUCACAAUGCAGUGGAUGUCUUAAGGUAAUUCAGUAGGUACAAAUGUUCCGUUAAAAAAAAUCUAAAUUGUAUUUAUGCAUCAAACUUAUCAUCCGUAACAUAAUAAUAUGUUUUUUCUGUGCUAGCAACCGUUUGUAAAUAAAUGUCUCGGAUGUAUAUGACUGCUUAGUUUGUUGCUUUUGACAGUGAAAUCACUAAGCUUGCAAUGUGUCAGGACAACAAAAGCAUCUCAGCUGAUGAUUGUGAAUGAAAGGCACAAGCAGGGAACAUAUGUGUAGCUGCGUUCGACUCGACAUGUAGCGGUAUCUGCAGAUCCACUGAUCCCAUUGUGGAGGUUAACAUGCAAUGUGUUGACCUGGAAAUCAUUAUUUGGAAGCUACAUUUCGAGGCAUUUCCUCAACAUAUAAAUAGAC
This is a long non-coding RNA of Brassica napus (rape), 1715 nucleotides long. RefSeq lists it as uncharacterized. The transcript has 3 exons. The record is from RefSeq and is a predicted model, not a curated record. Lineage: Eukaryota; Viridiplantae; Streptophyta; Magnoliopsida; Brassicales; Brassicaceae.